Molecule: ribosomal RNA, 324 nt
Filed under: uncultured eukaryote
Lineage: Eukaryota
Description: partial 18S ribosomal RNA
Rfam family: Eukaryotic small subunit ribosomal RNA
Source: RNAcentral
CCCCUAGAUGUUCUGGGCCGCACGCGCGCUACACUGGUCGAUGCAACGAGUUUCUUUCCUUGGCCGACAGGCCUGGGCAAUCUUUGAACAUCGAUCGUGAUCGGGAUAGAUUCUUGUAAUUUUUGAUCUUAAACGAGGAAUUCCUAGUAAACGCAAGUCAUCAGCUUGCAUUGAUUACGUCCCUGCCCUUUGUACACACCGCCCGUCGCACCUACCGAUUGAAUGGUCCGGUGAAAUCUCCGGACUGGCGUGAGUCGGAGCAAUCUGACAAACGCCGGAAAGUUGAUUAAACCUUACCAUUUAGAGGAAGGUGAAGUCGUANCA